This 340-nucleotide ribosomal RNA is filed under the name Pelobates cultripes (western spadefoot toad). RNAcentral describes it as "SSU_rRNA_eukarya". It matches the Rfam family "Eukaryotic small subunit ribosomal RNA", at positions 74 to 427 of the family's 1831-position model. Lineage: Eukaryota; Metazoa; Chordata; Amphibia; Anura; Pelobatidae. The record is from RNAcentral.
GUGUAGUUGGAAGUGGCGGUGGAGGAGGAGGUAGCCAACACUGUUUUUUAUGGGUUUUUUUUUUAUUGUGGCAGCCCCCAAAAUAUUGGGACAUAUAAAAAAGACAACUCUGUUCCGCAGAGUAGCUGUUGACAUUAUAGUUGCGCAGGCACUUUGUUGACUCUAGAGAACCUCGGGCCAAUCGCACAUCCCUGUGAUGGCGACUUUGCAUUCGGAUGUCAUCCAUAUCAACUUUCAAUGCCAGUUUCUACACCUACCAUGGUGACCACGGGUAACGGGGAAUCAGGGUUCCAUUCCGUACAGGGACCCUGAGAAAUGGCUACCACAUGCAAGGAAGGCA